This 6026-nucleotide long non-coding RNA is filed under the name Homo sapiens (human). RNAcentral describes it as "non-protein coding lnc-GMDS-6:12". The record is from RNAcentral. Lineage: Eukaryota; Metazoa; Chordata; Mammalia; Primates; Hominidae.
UGGUGCACACCUGUAGUCCCAGCUACUUGGGAGGCUGAGGUGGGAGGAUGGCUUGAGCUUGGGAAUUGGAGGCUGCAGUGAGCUGAGAUCACACCACUUCACUCCAGCCUGGACCACACAGUGAGACCCUGUCUCUAAAAAAAAAAAAGAAAAAAAAAAAAAAAGCAGGAGCGUGAACUUGAAUGGGAACAGCAGUGAACGCUGAGUCCUGGGCACAUUCACUAGGAUACCAAAAAUGUGUCUGGACCUCUCCCUUUAAGUAAACGUAAUUGGGAGCACCUCUUCUGGCUGAAUGUGACCUUCGCAUACAAUUUUGUUUGCCUUUCCAAGCCUUGCACGUUAUAUUUAUUAGAACGACCACCCCCCAUUUAGUUUUCCUUUGAAGAGUCUUUCUUGUAAACCGUGGGUGCGUGUGUGUUUGCGUCCCGAUCUGCCAGGGCUGGGCGCCAAGUGCAAAGUGCGCAGCCGCGAAGUGGAGUCGGCGCCGGCGGGAGCGCGGGGCUCAGGGCCAGGGCCCGCCUCCAGGGGGCGGUGUGCGCCCCCGGCGCUGGAGCAGCCGCGUUUCGGGGACCCGGGCAGGCGUGGGGGGCUGCGCUGAGCUCCAGGCCUCCUGCAGGUAGGGAUGCUUUGCUGACAGAUUCGGGCGUCCUCCCCUGAACGAAUGUCCUGGCGGGGCGUGCCCAGCCACCAUCCAGCUUCAGAGGCAAUGGCCGGGCGUCGUGAGAAGGGGAGGGAGAAGGAAGCGGAAGAGAGAGAGUUGGAAAGACUAGAGGAAGAGGUGGCCACGUCUUUUGCCAUCCCAGCUUUAAACUGCAGUGUUUAAUGCAACCAUACCUCACUGCAGCCUUCAACUCCUGGGGCUCAAGAAAUCCUCUUGCCUCAGCAUCCUGAGAAGCUAGGACUAUAGGUGUAUGCCACCAUGCACCCAGCUAAUUAAAAAAAAUUUUUUUUGAGACAGAGUCAUGGUUUUUUUUUGCCCAGGCUUGUCUUGAACUUCUGGGUUCAAGCGAUCCUACUGCCUUGGCCCUCACAAAGUGCUGGGAUUAUAGGCAUGAGCUACCAUGCCUGGCCUGCCCUGGGAUUUUCUCAAAGCUGGCAGACUAAUGGGUUAUUCAGAAUAUGGGUCAGAGCUGCACACACACCCACAUACACACACACACACACACACACACACACACAGUACAUAUUGGUUCCCCAAUCCAGAGUCGUAUCAAGUGCUAUAGCUCUUUAUUAGCAGUAGGGGGUGCAAGAUUCAGAGAGAUAUCCCAUCGCUCACCAGAUCACUGGGCACAGCAAUUCUGCUGAGAGAGCAGGUUCUUGAAUUCUUGUGACACAACAUUCCACUCUUUGGCACACAUGUAGGCACAUAAUGUACUUGUUUCCGCUCACUAGGUGCAAUAAGAAUCGUAUUACUAAUGUGGUGUCCUCUGGAAUGGUCACAUGAACACAGUUCCCUGCAGAUGUAAUUGGGAGAGAAGGCACAGUCCUGACACAGGGUAAGACUGUGGAGGUGUAUUGCUGUCCCUACCAGGUAAAAUAAUAUUGCUUCUGGUGGUUUUAUUGGGAAAGAGACAACACAUUUACCAAACUGAUAGCUGCAUAUUGGGUGCUGGGGGCUGUGUUGAUUUGCUACAGUCAUAAAACUAUGUCUAGAACAAAAGCUGCAAUGGAAGCCAUCUAUUGACUAAAUUAACAGUGAACCCUUAUUAUCCUCCAACAGCCAUAUGUGUUCUACAUAGGUGAAGCAGGGGAGUUAAGUGGCCGUAAUAGGAAAUGUCAUCUCUACAUCUUUUUUGUUUGUUUGUUUUGUUUUUUUUUUUAGACAGAGUCUUACUCUGUCGCCCAGGCUGGGGGGCAGUGGCGUGAUCUUGGCUCACUACAAGCUCUGCCUCCUGGGUUCAUCCCAUUCUCCUCCUCAGCCUCCCGAGUAGCUGGAACUACAAGUGCCCGCCACCAAGCCCGGCUAAUUUUUUGUAUUUUUAGUAGAGACAGGGUUUCACUGUGUUAGCCAGGAUGGUCUUGAUCUCCUGACCUCAUGAUCCACCUGCCUCGGCCUCCCAAAGUGCUGGGAUUACAGGCAUGAGCCACCACGCCCGGCCAUCUCUACAUCUUUCAAGUCUUUGGCAGUUCAUUCAGGGAUGUGAUGUUGCUUUUGAUAACUCUUGAUAGGAAGAAGUGGUUCCAGGGUUUUCCACUUGCUCCUUCUUACCUAAAUAGUCCUCACUUCCUGGGCCAGGGAUGAGUGUGGGGAUUCUGUAGCUGGGUGUUUCUGCAUACAUUCAUAGAGUUUCUGCAUAGAGAGUGCUCUGCAUUCAGAAACCCAGGAAAUGCUACAGGAUAAGUUUAUAGACCUACAAGGUACAUCAUGAGAAGCACGUGAGCCAAAACUCCACUUAUCACUUGACUCCUAUAACCCCAACUCUGAAAGCAGAGUUCAAGCAACUGUUGCGUCACCUCUUGCUACAGAGCACCAGGGUCCCACCUUCUGAUGUGAAUGAGACCUCCUGUGCUUCAAGCCCAGCCAAGUCAGAUAACUUAGUGGUCUUCAAAUUUUUUUCUGCAUACACUCCUGAAGACAAUUUAGAAAAAAUUUAGAAAAAUAAUGUACCCUUCACCCACUUUUUUUUUUUCUGAGAUGGAGUCUCACUUUGUUGCCAGGAUAGAGUGCAGUGGCAGGAUCUUGGCUUACUGCAACCUCUGCCUCCUGGGUUCGAGCAAUUCCCCUGCCUCAGCCUCCCAAGUAGCUGGGACUACAGGCAUGCGCCACCACUCCUGGCUAAUUUUUGUAUUUUUAGUAGAGACAGCGUUUCACCAUGUUGGCCAGGAUGAUCUCAAUCUCCUGACCUCACCUUCACCCACUUUUUAACUUGACAUCUCACCUUUUCCUGAUAAGUGUAAAUAGUUGAAAUGGAUCACAGAACAUUAGAAGUUUAAAAAAAGCUAACAUGACAAAACCUAAGAAAGAGAUCUUUUUAUUGAAGAUCUGCCUGAUUCAUCUCUAUUAUGUUUUUACGUAGACUGGCUUCUGGUUGUGUACAUUUCCAACCUUAUUUCUUCUCUACUGUCCACACAUUCAUGGUGCUGGUCACCACAGAAAAUGAAUAUCACAGCAUGACUUCUGGUCCUCAGGACCGUGGGCAGAGGGAGUAUUUCUAGAAAUCAUUUUUACACUAGAGGGGCUAGCAAUAACAUAAUCAUAUGUGGAAGUUACUGCACCAGUAAAUACAUCCUCUGAAACCCCAACUAACUUGUUUAUCCCAAUUCAAUUAGUGGACUUUCAAAAGCACCCAUGGCCACUGCAAUGCCACCACACAUGGGGAGAAGAAAGACAAAGGGGAGUGUAAAAAGAGGUAUUAAUCCUUAAGGUUGAAAGGUCUUACUCUUGUAAAUUUUACUAAAAUAUGUGACCCAGAAGAGCCAUUUCUAGGCCUUGGGGGUGGCCUGUGCUAGUGAAAGCCUCUGAAGAUUGGGGUUUGUUAGCUACGGGGUGAAUCUACCGCUGCACUGUCAAUAGGGACAUUAUGAUAAAAAUGUCAUGUAACUUUGUGAAAAGUAUCCAUGGAGCCUAAACACUAUAAUGACAUGCUAUCCAUCAUCAUUUACUUUGAAAUAUUUGAACAAUCUCUUUAAUUUUCGAAAAUUUUUCAAAAUUUUGAAAAUUUGUCUUUUUACUCUUGAACAUAUAAAGUUCCAUUUCACUUUCUUCUUAGGAUUCCUUCAUAAUGUAAUGUGUGUGUGUGUGUGUGUGUAUGUAUAUAUAUAUUUUUAGACAGGGUCUCACUCUGUUGCUCCAGCUGAAGUACGUAGUGCAAUCACAGCUCACUGCAGCUUUGAACUCCUGGGCUUAAGCCAUCCUCCCACCUCAGCCUCCUGACCAGCUGGGGUUACAGACAUGUGCCACCACACCCAGCUAAUUGCUUUUUCAUUUCUUUUGUAGAGAUAGAGGGUCUCACUGUGUUUCCCACGCUGGUCUCGAACUCCUGGUCUCAAACAGUCCUCCCAUCUCAGCCUCCCAAAGUGCUGUGAUUAUAGGUGUGAGCCACUGUGCCCAGCCUAAUGUAUAUUUUUAACAGCUUUAUUAAGAUAUAAUUUAUCUAUUGUACAAUUCACAUAAGUAAAGUGUGCUAUUGAAUGGCUUUUAAUAUAUUCACAGACUUUUACAUCGUGACCACAAUAUAUGUUAGAACAUUUUUAUUUCAAAAGAAGCCCUACACCCCUCAGCUAUCACCCCGGCAAUUGUUCCAUCUCCCUCAACCCCACCCAGUUCUAGGUCACCAUUAAUUCACUUUCUGUCUCUAUGGAGUUGCUCACUCCAAGCAUUUAUAUGUAAAUGGAAUCAUGCAGUAUGCUAUCCUUUGAGACUGGCUUCCUUCAGUUACAAGGUUCAUCCUAUACUUACGCUUGAAACAUUUAUUAAUCACCCUUUUCUGCAACCAAAAAUGUAUGUGAAUCGAAAUUGUAAAGUGUUCUUUAUUUCCUGCCACCAAAAGACUUUAGGAAUUUAAAGUAUUUUCUGGGUCAUGAUUACAAUGGUUGUUAUCAUGCAACUUAUGAAAACAACAUAAAUGUUAUAAACGUUGCUAAAAAAAUUGUGUUAAUUCAAAGAGUGAAAUUUUAUUGGAAAUGUCUCACUUACAUGAUGAGUUUUUAAAAUUUUCUCUGUCUUUCUCUCUCUCGGGAUCUCACUUUGCUGCCCAGCCUGGAGUGCAGUAGUGUAAUCUCGGCUCACUGCAGCCUCAAACUUCUGGGCUCGAGCGAUCCUCUCACCUCAGCCUCCUGAGUAGCUGGGACUACAGGUGCGUGCCACCAUGUCUAGGUAAUUUUUAAAGUUUUUUUGUAGAGAUGAGGCCUCCCUAUGUUGCCCAGGCUGGUCUCAAACUCCUGGGGUCAGGAGAUGCUCCCAAAGUGCUGGGAUUACAGGCAUGAGCUACUACGCCCAGCUGGAAUUUCCUUAUUUUAAAAAUGUAUGACUGAAUCUACCACCGCCAGAAUCUACCACUGCCAGAUGGUUCUGCCUGGAUUCUUUUCCUACUUUUUGUGCUUCGUAGGUAUAAUUGCUGGAAAGCCUGAUCACAAAAUUAAGCUGAUGGGAAUGGAAAAGGUUUCUUAUAGAAAUAUCAGUCAAUUCUCCCAAUUCUUUCCUCUUUCUCUUCCCCCAAAUCACCUAGCAUUCCUUACCCAGGUCCCCACAGGACUCCUCCUGCAGAACGAUGCCUCCUUUGACGGUAGAUAGAUACGUCAGAGAUGAGGUCGUUACUCAGCGCUUGUCACUGCUCACCAGCUCACUAUCAUAUACCUGAAUUCAGAACAUCCCAACAUGGGCCAAAAGCCAGGCCCCUUCCUUAGCAGAAAGUACCAUGAGGCAGGGAAAGCUGGAACGGCAGAGGGUGGUGGGGCCUUGCUUGGUUAUCAGGACAGCCUUUCCCUGUGUUUGGCAUUUGAGGGUUUAGAAACCCUCGUGGAGUAAGUUUGGGAAGGCUGAGGGCUAGUGCUUUCUUUUAUAAAGUGUGCUUUUGAACACUUGCCUUGAGGCAAGAGUGUAUAAAGGAGGUAAGGAUCUGGAAAUUGAUUUCUUUGAAAUUAUGUGUAUACAUUUGGACCCAGGAGUUUGAAAACCACCCAGCCGAGGGAGCUGAGACUUUGAUUCCUAAGACUCAGUCCUACGACCUCUCCUGAUUCCAGUCUCGGUGUUGGUCAGGGUUCAGUUACAGAGCAGAGCAGAAAGGGAUUUAUUUCAGGAUAUUAAAUGGUUUAUGGAAUCAUGGGGAAGGUGAACAAACAGGCUCUAGCCUGAACUUCCCAGGGGACUCCUGGAGUCCCAUGUAGCAAGGAAGCUUAAGGCUCUUCUCUGACAACUUGGGAAGCUGUUGCUGCGGCUGCUGCAUCAGACACCCCGCCAUGGCGCUGAGCAGGGUGGGGUUUAGAUUCCCAGUCACGUGUAAAGGCAGUCACACCAUCCACGUGCCAGUGGAGUACAACUUGGCAGGCAGUGAGAAGGUGCCAGGAUUUUUCGGAGUUAAGUGACU